Neopsephotus bourkii (Bourke's parrot) is the source of this 1424-nucleotide long non-coding RNA. RefSeq lists it as uncharacterized. The record is from RefSeq and is a predicted model, not a curated record. The transcript has 2 exons. NCBI's taxonomy places the organism in Eukaryota, Metazoa, Chordata, Aves, Psittaciformes, Psittacidae.
AAUUCAAUAAGGCCACAUGCAAAAUUCUAGCCCUCAGAAGGAAUUGCCAACUCUACAAUAGUCUGAGUGGCAGCAGCCAGUGCAGGAGAAUUGUGGUCAUGGCAGGCACACAGUGAACAUUUGUCAGGAAUUCACAUUGCUGUGGAAAAGGAAACUGUGCUGAAGAGACAGGAAUCCAUCAGGUUACUGCAUCAAGCAAAAUAAUUCGUUGUGAAACUGAGGGGAAAAAAAAAGCAGAAGAGCAACUGGAAUUCACUGAGGCCAAGGAAUCUGGCAUCCACAUCCCAUUUUGGAACCACUAAAGAUUCCCAAGACAAAAAGCAGCUUGUUUCUGGGACAUAUCACCCAGUUUACAGUAGCAGCAGAUAAAUUUAAUAGUGAAAGAAAGCUUCCAAACAGCAGCAGUGAUAAAACCAGGUACGUUAGGCUAUUUAUUUGUUUUGUGAUAUAUCUCUAACCUGCCUAAUGCUGCAGGAGAUGGCAUGCUGUCUUUUCCUUUUAUUUAUGAAGUAACUGUGUGAACCUGAUGGCUCCAAUAUUGGACCACCUAAAUUAUGACUGUAUUUAGAUGUAGAUGAAACCCAGAGGGUUUUCUCGCAGCUCAUACUAAUCAGAGCAGUUAAUAAGGGAGUGAUUGAUGAAUCAGGUGCUGAUAGUGUUUGUGCUGUGAUUACAAUUUGGUAAUUCUGGGGUUUAUUUGCAUAAUCACCCCAUGCCAGCCACAGUGGCCUGACAUUGACUGAACUUGCAAUAGCGCUAGGAAUAACCAACUGAUUGAGUUACUGCAGCAAAACACUUUUGUUUGUUAUAAUGCCUUCUAGACACGGGGUACACUGAAAUGCUUCACAGCAUUAAAGUCACAACAGACAUCAAAGUGAAGCACAACUUCCCUUGGGGGCUUCAUGCUUUACCCCAUAGUUGACCAUGCAGGGCAUUUUUAGUGCUGGUUGCAGAAGAUACAGUCUUUAUAGGCUGCUGAACACAAUAUGGGGUGGUGGUAGAGAAGAUGAAGCCAAGGGAAAAGGGUUUCUAUAUUGGCUGGGUUUCUAUAUUGGCAAUAAGGCUUUUAAGAACAUGAGGAGUUAAAAAAAGCUCUCUGAAACCAUCAGGAAGUCUUAGAACAUCUUAGCCAGCAGCCUGGGUAGAGAGUGUCAGGGAGAGGCAAAGGGUAUGAAAAACAAAUACAGACUUAAAGCUGUAGCUGCAUUGGGAUAACUGAAGAGAUGGGAGGAUGGAGGAGAUGAGACCAACUUGUUGGUUUGCUGGUGAAGAGAAAGGAGAAGGCAGUGACAGAUGUGUCUCUUAUACCUGGCUUCCUAUUUUUGCACAAUUUAGGGUGUUUUCUGUGAGGAAAAAAAAAGUUAUCUUUGGACAUGUAAAAGGAAUUAUAGUAGAUUUUUUUUUAAUAAAGAAGUUACCAGACA